CGAGGCGUAGCGCAGCUGGUAGCGCGCAUGGUUCGGGACCAUGAGGCCGCGAGUUCGAAUCUCGCCGCUUCGACCA
Molecule: transfer RNA, 76 nt
Filed under: Clostridiaceae bacterium
Lineage: Bacteria; Bacillati; Bacillota; Clostridia; Eubacteriales; Clostridiaceae
Description: tRNA-Pro
Rfam family: tRNA
About the family: Transfer RNA (tRNA) molecules are approximately 80 nucleotides in length. Their secondary structure includes four short double-helical elements and three loops (D, anti-codon, and T loops).
Source: RNAcentral